GCCUACGGCCAGACUGGACUAAUUGCACCUGAUCCCGUCCGAUCUCGGAAGCUAAACAGUCCCGGGCCCAGCUAGUACCUGGAUGGGAGACUGCCUGGGAAUCCCGGGUACCGUAGGCC
This 119-nucleotide ribosomal RNA is filed under the name Crocodylus porosus (Australian saltwater crocodile). The record is from RNAcentral. Lineage: Eukaryota; Metazoa; Chordata; Crocodylia; Crocodylidae.